UACGGAGGGUGCGAGCGUUAAUCGGAAUUACUGGGCGUAAAGCGCACGCAGGCGGUUUGUUAAGCUAGAUGUGAAAGCCCCGGGCUCAACCUGGGAUGGNCAUUUAGAACUGGCAGACUAGAGUCUUGGAGAGGGGAGUGGAAUUCCAGGUGUAGCGGUGAAAUGCGUAGAUAUCUGGAGGAACAUCAGUGGCGAAGGCGACUNCCUGGCCAAAGACUGACGCUCAUGUGCGAAAGUGUGGGUAGCGAACAGG
Molecule: ribosomal RNA, 253 nt
Filed under: uncultured bacterium
Lineage: Bacteria
Description: partial 16S ribosomal RNA
Rfam family: Bacterial small subunit ribosomal RNA
Source: RNAcentral